GCUUGACUGUAGUUUGGAAUAGGGUUCGGGCUUUUCUUGCGCAGCCUAGGUGGGAGGCAUUGAAGAUUUCUUUUCGGGGAAAUCGGAGCCAUCAUUGAGAGACCACUCUGGAAGAGCUAGAAUCCUAAUGGCGUUCCUUGAAUCAGGACGCUUGACAGUUUCAGAUGGGCAGUUUUCUUGGGGCGAGAUUCUCCUAAAGGGUAACGGAGAAGCGCAAUGGUCCCCUCAACCUGGACGGAAAUCAGGCUUUGAGUGCAAAGGCAUAAGGGGGCUUGACUGCAAGACCUACAAGUCGAGCAGGGGCGAAAGCCGGCCUUAGUGAUCCGACGGUGCCGUGUGGAAGGGCCGUCGCUCAACGGAUAAAAGUUA
RNAcentral lists this ribosomal RNA (369 nucleotides) under Chaetophoropsis elegans. RNAcentral's name for it is "bacterial LSU rRNA". It matches the Rfam family "Bacterial large subunit ribosomal RNA", at positions 2098 to 2465 of the family's 2925-position model. Lineage: Eukaryota; Viridiplantae; Chlorophyta; Chlorophyceae; Chaetophorales; Chaetophoraceae. The record is from RNAcentral.